RNAcentral lists this ribosomal RNA (508 nucleotides) under uncultured bacterium. RNAcentral describes it as "partial 16S ribosomal RNA". It matches the Rfam family "Bacterial small subunit ribosomal RNA", at positions 28 to 507 of the family's 1533-position model. The record is from RNAcentral.
GACGAACGCUGGCGGCGUGCCUAAUACAUGCAAGUCGAACGCUUCUUUCCUCCCGAGUGCUUGCACUCAAUUGGAAAGAGGAGCGGCGGACGGGUGAGUAACACGUGGGUAACCUACCCAUCAGAGGGGGAUAACACUUGGAAACAGGUGCUAAUACCGCAUAACAGUUUAUGCCGCAUGGCAUAAGAGUGAAAGGCGCUUUCGGGUGUCGCUGAUGGAUGGACCCGCGGUGCAUUAGCCAGUUGGUGAGGUAACGGCUCACCAAGGCCACGAUGCAUAGCCGACCUGAGAGGGUGAUCGGCCACACUGGGACUGAGACACGGCCCAGACUCCUACGGGAGGCAGCAGUAGGGAAUCUUCGGCAAUGGACGAAAGUCUGACCGAGCAACGCCGCGUGAGUGAAGAAGGUUUUCGGAUCGUAAAACUCUGUUGUUAGAGAAGAACAAGGACGUUAGUAACUGAACGUCCCCUGACGGUAUCUAACCAGAAAGCCACGGCUAACUACGUG